UGACAUAAAUUGAGACCUGUGCCCUUUGAUGAUCUAGUCUUCUUUGCUCUACCAGUACUCGCAUCUCAUCAGGAGUAUUACCGCCUUGGAAAACACCUGAAUGAGAAACUGAAUGCCCAAGACCACAGAGCUCAGAGAUGAUAGAAACAGGAGCUGCAAGUCAAAGUUUCCUGAUUCUAAGACCAGAGCCCCUUCCACCACACUCCAGCUCAGCCUCACUACAAAAUUCCAGUUUCAUCCUGUUCCACACAGGACCCACAUGUCCUGCAGCCUGGGUCAACCCAGGUUUGAGAAUACUCCCCAAGAACAACUGAGGCAUGCUCUGAGAUGGCAAAAUGCCACUCAUGGAACCCAGGUAAAGCCUCCAAGCAGUUGUUAGUGAGGGACCAGCAUGCACACUUCAGAAUCUGCCAACUGAAGAAGUGAUUUUCAACAGAGAAACCCUAGCAAAACAGCAGUGUUACAAGUCACUCAGCCAUGACGGAAGCACUUUUUAAAGACUGUGCUCCAGUUAGCAAGUGUCUUUAGCAGACCCUAUGUACUGUUGUCACAUCUGUGUUCAAGAUUCCUCGUCCCCUCUUAAAAUAAGCCUGAAAGCUAAUGUAGUUAUACAAGGAAGCCAAAUUGCACAAAACUGUCAACUCUUCCUCCGGAACAGAUUAAGACCCUGCAGCCAACGGGAAGAUAUAACUGCUCCCCAGUUUAUGAGCAAUUUCUUUCCUUCCAGAUUUUUCACUGAGACUGGAGUCUAAACUCAAAGCAAUAAUCAUCCAACAAAAAUGCCUCUGGAAUAAUUGAGAUCAGUCUUGGGACAGCUGAGUCCUACUGUUUUUCAUGUUUGUACAUUUUUUACUCUGUGAUUAAUGGAGGAGGAGAUGAGAGAACAGAGGGUGGAAAGGGAGAAAGAAAAAAAAAUAUCACUUGACUCUGCAUACUCAAAAAUGUGGAAGAAGAGAAGGUGGAAGAGAGAUCGUGCCUCAGGGGUAAACACAAGAAUCAACAGAAUGAAAGAAAAAUCCAACUGUCUUUUCAGAGCCAAGCAGAGGAAAGAGAACUGGAGCCACGGAACCUUGCGAGAUCAUGUAGUCUGACUGCUCACUUUCCAAAUGUGGUGGGAGCCUAGAGAGCUGAACCCGUGGUUCAAGGUCACCCAGCAAGUUGUCUUUAGAACCAGGAUCUAAAUCCAGGCCUCCUGAUUCACAGCCCAGGGCUCUUCCUUUGGGACUUAAGAAAUCAUCUGAGUGUGUUUUGCUGUGGCUCUACAAGGGGAACAUUAGAAAGGGGCCCCACCCACAUAAUAGCCCCCUAAGUUGGAGGACUAGACAGACAGUUGUAAUUUGGGCAUCCCCAUGCUCUGUGCCAGGCAACUGGCCUGGCUACAGGGAACCACUGGAGACUGUCAGUCAUUGAGGUGAGGCUGCAUUCGGAGUCAGCCAUCUGUCAGAAGGGGGUUUGGAUAAUUAAAUCUGCUCACUAGAGGCAGUGAGGGGGAUGAGAAAGGCCCAAUAAUGGGGCCCCUGACCUGAAGCUGCCUGUGUGACCCUCUUCCCAUCCCUUCCACAGGCUGGCUGAGCCCCUCCUCAGUCAUGGUAGUAAACAAGCUGGUCCAAUCCCUCCAGGGCUGGCUUCUGCUGUGAUUUGCAGAGCCCUCCGUCCUCAGGAUGAAGAACUGCCCUGAGUCCAGUCCUGUGGCCCUGGCUGUGCUGACUGAGCCCACAAUGGGCAGAGGGAGCAGACUCUCAAGUCUGUCUCACCCAUCACCAGGGCUAAGCACAUACACUUUGGAGCUGAGACUCACUGAAUCCAAAUCCUUGCUCUACCACUUCCCGGCUGAGGAAAACCCUGAUCUCUAGACUGCGUUCUAUCUACCUAUAAAAUGACUUAGAGAUUUGUUUUGAGCAUUAAAUGAGAUAAUGCAUAGAAAUCCCCCAGCAUGGUGCUUGCUCAGGGUAAGCACUCAAUCAAUGGCCACUGUUUUUAUUACUGAGAGGUCCCCUCCACCCAUCAGUCUUUUCCUCUCGAUCUCCCAUCAUUGUUCUGUGUGCUGCUGGAGUGACCCUCAGAGUUUUGUGCUUGACCAUCCCUAACCCCCAUUACACCACAUGCAUGCUGGGAGUCCUCAAAGAAUCUUCUCUCUACAGUUACCAUAAGAGCAGGCUGCCCGUUGGGCUUCCUCUUCCCCAGGCCAGCCUUCCACAGGGUCUGCUUCCACCCAUUCCUCCGACCCACCCAGUGGUCCUGCUUUCAUCCUGGCUGCUGUGAUUAACUGGCCUCACAGACCAUAGCUCCUAAGAUGGGCUCUGACCAAGUACUAGGGUGAGACAGUCCCACCCCACAGUGAAGACACAGGCUCAGACCAUUUCCAUGUCAUUAACCAUGGCAGAGUCCAGUCAGAAGAGAACAGUCCUUCUCCCCAAAAGACUUUAGUAAACUAUUUCCCAGCAAUGAAACCCAUUUUAAAUUCAGACAGAGAGAAGGACCUUGGUACUCAAAACUGAGAGAGCACAUUUAAUCGGGGCAGGAGAGAGCUAUUUAAUUUCACUUCUCUUUGCCUAAGCUUCUUUGACCCCUCUCCCCACUCGUUUGCUCUGUAUCAAUAUUUCUCAAACUGUCUGUGGUGAACGUCCCACUGUUUAUUUUCCCCAAACUAUUGGGUACCAAUACUUUUGUAAAACAGUCAAAAUAAAUUACUACCAAACUAAAAUGUCACUUGGAUGUCACAAUAAUGUUAAAUUGCUAUAAAGUUCCGUAAAUACUUUGAAUUUCUGUACUUAACUUUUGGCGAACUGGUAAACGUUUCGCAGACCCCUACUAGUCCUGGACCAAACUGAGAGUAGGGCUGCUUCUGGAAGGAACAGAACCACAGAAGAGUCCAUCUGCCAUGGACACCCCCCCCCCCAUUCUGGGUUUUUGUCCUGUAAUGCGGUCUGCUCAGCAGUGACCCUGCCCCACCCAGAGCAUGCAAUGGAAAGGUUCCUGGUAGAACUUGCCCAGUCUCUAGUAAGUGCUGUUCCCUGAGCACCAAGCAUCCCCCAGUGAGAGGAAUAUGCUGCGAUAAUACCGGCCGUGUGCAGCCCGCUGGCUCUUACCAUUCCAUUCCAGCCCUGUUGAUCUCCUCCCACCAGCAUUCUGUAGGCUCCCCCAGGCUCUGAGGUGUGGGCAUGCAGGCGUAGUUCCACUGUCUGUCAGAACCUUCCUUCUUGUUGAAGAUGCUCCUCACGGCCACCACCACCUGCCCAUGGGGACACUGGUAGCUGAAGCCCUGCCGGUGCAGAUUCACCCACCCAUCAUCACUAUAGUCUUGGUACUGCUGAUAUGGGUACCCAUAGUCUUCAUACUGCCCCCAGGUCACGGUGACCAGUGGCAGAAGCACCCACAGAAGAGUGAGGUCCAUGCUGUCUGGGUUUCUGGCAAAAAAUGUCACCCUAUGUCUGCUGGGCUGCUGGUUUUAUACAGCUGCUGCUGACAUGUGGCUUCCAGAUGUGGGCGAGCAAGCAGGCUCCAACUGCAGUGUGUCAUCGUUUAAGCAAAACUUUUCAGCGCCGAGAUAUUGGCCAUAAGUACAUUCAGUGUGUUUUAAGGUGGAAUUCUAAGAAAACGUAAGGAACAUGCAAAUGGAAGAAACUCCCUAGAGGAGGAACAACUUAGCAGAUAGAUUAUAAAAGCAAAUGGCUUCACACACCUCAGAAACAUUCACUUGAAAAAAGGAGCAAAUUUGUCCCUCAUCUCUUAGCACUUCACUUCUCUCUUCCCUACCCCCCCCACCCCACCACUAACAAACCCCUGUAUUUGUUCUCCAAACCAGCCUUCCAGGACCACACAAAUAUGCAGAAAGUGAUUUCAAAACACCAAAAUAAUAGGUUGAAGGGUCAGAGUUAUUCACAUUUCUGCAAGGCUAGAUACCUACUUUAAGUUCUCAGCCCAACAUCUUUUAACCCUGAGUUAUAAGCAUGGAAUGCCAGUUUGCAGGCUACUCUGAGAAUUUUUAAGUCACAUAUGGAAGUACUAUGGGCCCCUGGAGAGAUAAGUUGGGCAUUACUGCUACAUUUAAACAUCCUUCUGAGCUGCUGAAAUUGGACCCAUCUACACCUAGAAACCAUGCUCGGCUGACAAAUACGUCAUGAGUUUAAUUUGAAUACAGCCACUUUUUAUCCUUCAGUGGUUUUCCCCUCUGUGUUGAGUUUUCUUUUUAAUGAGGUAUAACUUACAUAUAAUAAAAUUCAUCUCUUCUAUAUUCAGCAUACAGUCGUUCAACCAGUACCAUAAUCAAGACACAGAACAGUUCCCUCAACCCUCUAGUCCCCUUAUGCCCUUUGGUAGUCAAAUCCUUCCCAAUACCCAGCCCCUGGUAACCACUGAUCUACUUUCCGUCACUGUAGUUUUGCCUUUUCCAGGAUGUCAAAUAGAUGGAGUCAUACAAUAUGCUGCCUUUUGUCUGACUCCUUUCACUAGGAAAAAUGCUUUCUGGAUCCAUCCAUAUUGUUGUGUGUUAGUGUCAAUAGUUCAUUCCUUUACACUGUUGAGUGGUAUUCUAUGUUAUGGCUGUACUACAGACUGCUUAUACAUUUACCAGUUGAAAGACAUUUGUUUUUCU
This is a long non-coding RNA of Globicephala melas (long-finned pilot whale), 4594 nucleotides long. RefSeq lists it as uncharacterized. The record is from RefSeq and is a predicted model, not a curated record. Lineage: Eukaryota; Metazoa; Chordata; Mammalia; Artiodactyla; Delphinidae.